GAUGAAGAACGCAUCGAAAUGCGAUACUUGGUGUGAAUUGCAGAAUCCCGUGAACCAUCGAGUCUUUGAACGCAAGUUGCGCCCGAAGCCACUAGGCCGAGGGCACGCCUGCCUGGGCGUCACACGUCGUUGCCCCCCCCCAUCUACUCCUUCGGGAUUGCGGGGGGCGGAUGAUGGCCUCCCGUGCGCCUAGCCGCGCGGUUGGCAUAAAUACCAAGUCCUCGGCGACGCACGCCACGACAAUCGGUGGUUGCGAAACCUCGGUUGCCCGUCGUGUGCGUUCGUCGCGCAUCGAGGGCUCGAAAAAAUGCUCGGCUCCGGCUCGGCUUUCAACGCGACCCCAGGUCAGGCGGGGUUACCCGCUGAAUUUAAGCAUAUCAAUAAGCGGAGGA
This 392-nucleotide unclassified non-coding RNA is filed under the name soil metagenome. RNAcentral describes it as "partial contains 5.8S ribosomal RNA, internal transcribed spacer 2, and large subunit ribosomal RNA". The stretch from base 1 to 122 matches the Rfam family "5.8S ribosomal RNA", at positions 35 to 154 of the family's 154-position model. The record is from RNAcentral.